AUGAGCUCGCGUCUGAUUAGCUAGUUGGAGGGGUAACGGCCUACCAAGGCGACGAUCAGUAGCUGGUCUGAGAGGAUGAUCAGCCACACUGGGACUGAGACACGGCCCAGACUCCUACGGGAGGCAGCAGUGGGGAAUUUUCCGCAAUGGGCGAAAGCCUGACGGAGCAAUACCGCGUGAGGGAGGAAGGCUCUUGGGUUGUAAACCUCUUUUCUCAGGGAAGAAAAUGAUGACGGUCCCUGAGGAAUAAGCAUCGGUAAAUUCCGUGGCAGCAGCCGCGGGAAUACGGAGGAUGCGAGCGUUCUCCGGAAUUUUUGGGCGUA
Molecule: ribosomal RNA, 323 nt
Filed under: uncultured cyanobacterium
Lineage: Bacteria; Bacillati; Cyanobacteriota
Description: bacterial SSU rRNA
Rfam family: Bacterial small subunit ribosomal RNA
Source: RNAcentral